This 96-nucleotide microRNA precursor is filed under the name Aegilops tauschii subsp. strangulata. RNAcentral describes it as "pre miRNA mir-598". Lineage: Eukaryota; Viridiplantae; Streptophyta; Magnoliopsida; Poales; Poaceae. The record is from RNAcentral.
AGAAGAAGAAGAAGAAGAAGAAGAAGAAGAAGAAGAAGAAGAGGAAAUAGGUCUUCCUCCUCCUCUUCUUCUUCUUCUUCUUCUUCUUCUUCUUCU